This is a long non-coding RNA of Danio aesculapii, 534 nucleotides long. RefSeq lists it as uncharacterized. Lineage: Eukaryota; Metazoa; Chordata; Actinopteri; Cypriniformes; Danionidae. The record is from RefSeq and is a predicted model, not a curated record. The transcript has 5 exons.
UCUCGAUAUCCCUCAUUUUGCGAUGUCUACUUGGAAGAUGUGCGGAACAAACGAAGACGACAAAGCCGAGAGGUUGUCACAAGAAGGUGGUUGACAGUGGUUUGCUGAUGAAGACCCUUUGGCUGCUGUAAUGUUACACGAGACUCCAGACUACCUCAAUCCAAUGGUCAGUUGAAUUGAGAGGAAGAGGGGGGAUAAAGUACUGCACAAGGAGGUGGAAUGCCUGUUGAGAUUAUCCUAGAUCAGGAAAGGUGUUGAAGAUCAACCAGAAUAAAGAUCAUCUCCUUUAAACCGUUUAAUGUGAAAGUAACAGUGGCAGUAUGUUUAUUCCACUUAAUGUAAAUUCUUGGUCAAAAUCAAGGUCUGCGAUGUCAGUUCUACCACCUGAACAUGCAGAUAAUUUAAGUAGUUACUCAGACCCCUGUUAUCUUCACAGUUAAAAGCUGGAACACCAGAGCUAAACUGACUGGUGCCAAGAUAUCCGAGUUCAAUAUGCAUGUUCUUGUUUCUUAAUAAAUGAAUAUAAAGACCUGC